Molecule: ribosomal RNA, 253 nt
Filed under: uncultured bacterium
Lineage: Bacteria
Description: partial 16S ribosomal RNA
Rfam family: Bacterial small subunit ribosomal RNA
Source: RNAcentral
UACGGAGGGUGCAAGCGUUAUCCGGAUUCACUGGGUUUAAAGGGUGCGUAGGUGGGCAGGUAAGUCAGCGGUGAAAUCCCCGAGCUUAACUUGGGAACUGCCAUUGAUACUAUCUGUCUUGAAUACCUUGGAGGUGAGCGGAAUAUGUCAUGUAGCGGUGAAAUGCUUAGAUAUGACAUAGAACACCAAUUGCGAAGGCAGCUCACUACACGGUAAUUGACACUGAGGCACGAAAGCGUGGGGAUCAAACAGG